AGCAGCCGCGGUAAUUCCAGCUCCAAUAGCGUAUAUUAAAGUUGUUGCAGUUAAAAAGCUCGUAGUUGAACUUCGGGGUUUACCCAUUGGUCAAGCUUAAUUGUCUGUACUGGUGAGAUAAAUCUCUACCUUCUGAGGAACUUUCAUGUCAUUAAUUUGGUGUGAUUGGAAAUCAGGACUGUUACUUUGAAAAAUUAGAGUGUUUAAAGCAGGCUAACGUCUGAAUACAUUAGCAUGGAAUAAUGAAAUAGGACGGACUGAUUCUAUUUCGUUGGUUUCUAGGAUCACCGUAAUGAUUAAUAGGGAUAGUUGGGGGCAUUAGUAUUCAAUUGUCAGAGGUGAAAUUCUUGGAUUUAUUGAAGACUAACUACUGCGAAAGCAUUUGCCAAGGAUGUUUUCAUUAAUCAAGAACGAAAGUUAGGGGAUCGAAGACGAUCAGAUACCGUCGUAGUCUUAACCAUAAACUAUGCCGACUAGGGAUCGGACGAAGUUAAUUUAUAAUUGACGCGUUCGGCACCGU
Molecule: ribosomal RNA, 520 nt
Filed under: uncultured Glomeromycotina
Lineage: Eukaryota; Fungi; Glomeromycota
Description: SSU rRNA
Rfam family: Eukaryotic small subunit ribosomal RNA
Source: RNAcentral